UGGCGGACGGGUGAGUAACGCGUGGGUAACCUGCCCUAUACAGGGGGAUAACAACCAGAAAUGGUUGCUAAUACCGCAUAAGCGCACAGGACCGCGUGGUCCGGUGUGAAAAACUCCGGUGGUAUAGGAUGGACCCGCGUUGGAUUAGCUGGUUGGCAGGGUAACGGCCUACCAAGGCGACGAUCCAUAGCCGGCCUGAGAGGGUGAACGGCCACAUUGGGACUGAGACACGGCCCAGACUCCUACGGGAGGCAGCAGUGGGGAAUAUUGCACAAUGGGGGAAACCCUGAUGCAGCGACGCCGCGUGAAGGAAGAAGUAUCUCGG
Molecule: ribosomal RNA, 325 nt
Filed under: uncultured bacterium
Lineage: Bacteria
Description: bacterial SSU rRNA
Rfam family: Bacterial small subunit ribosomal RNA
Source: RNAcentral